GACGUCAUCACGCAGGGCCGAGUCGGCGCGGCCACAUCCUUUAAAUAUGGUCUUUCUUGGGCGCGCGCGACAAUGUGAGGAGUGGGGUGGAGCGUGUGUGGUGUGUGGCUGCGGCCUGGGCAAGAGCCGCCGCGGACCAUGAGCUGAGUAAGUUCUGGAGGGAUCCUGCCUCUUGGAGCCUUCGCAGCCAGGCAGCUGUGAACUGUGAGCUAGAGUGAAGCAGAAAUCUAGGAAGAUGAGCUCCAAGAUGGUCAUAAGUGAACCAGGACUGAAUUGGGAUAUUUCCCCCAAAAAUGGCCUUAAGACAUUUUUCUCUCGAGAAAAUUAUAAAGAUCAUUCCAUGGCUCCAAGUUUAAAAGAACUACGUGUUUUAUCCAACAGACGUAUAGGAGAAAAUUUGAAUGCCUCAGCAAGUUCUGUAGAAAAUGAGCCGGCAGUUAGUUCAGCAACUCAAGCAAAGGAAAAAGUUAAAACCACAAUUGGAAUGGUUCUUCUUCCAAAACCAAGAGUUCCUUAUCCUCGUUUCUCUCGUUUCUCACAGAGAGAGCAGAGGAGUUAUGUGGACUUGUUGGUUAAAUACGCAAAGAUUCCUGCAAAUUCCAAAGCUGUUGGAAUAAAUAAAAAUGACUACUUGCAGUACUUGGAUAUGAAAAAACAUGUGAACGAAGAAGUUACUGAGUUCCUAAAGUUUUUGCAGAAUUCUGCAAAGAAAUGUGCGCAGGAUUAUAAUAUGCUUUCUGAUGAUGCCCGUCUCUUCACAGAGAAAAUUUUAAGAGCUUGCAUUGAACAAGUGAAAAAGUAUUCAGAAUUCUAUACUCUCCACGAGGUCACCAGCUUAAUGGGAUUCUUCCCAUUCAGAGUAGAGAUGGGAUUAAAGUUAGAAAAAACUCUUCUUGCAUUGGGCAGUGUAAAAUAUGUGAAAACAGUAUUUCCCUCAAUGCCUAUAAAGUUGCAGCUCUCAAAGGACGAUAUAACUACCAUCGAAACGUCAGAACAAACAGCUGAAGCUAUGCAUUAUGAUAUUAGUAAAGAUCCAAAUGCAGAGAAGCUUGUUUCCAGAUAUCACCCUCAGAUAGCUCUAACUAGUCAGUCAUUAUUUACCUUAUUAAAUAAUCAUGGACCAACGUACAAGGAACAGUGGGAAAUUCCAGUGUGUAUUCAAGUAAUACCUGUUGCAGGUUCAAAACCAGUUAAAGUAAUAUAUAUUAAUUCACCACUUCCCCAAAAGAAAAUGACUAUGAGAGAGAGAAAUCAAAUCUUUCAUGAAGUUCCGUUAAAAUUUAUGAUGUCCAAAAACACAUCUGUUCCAGUCUCUGCAGUCUUUAUGGACAAACCUGAAGAGUUUAUAUCUGAAAUGGACAUGUCCUGUGAAGUCAACGAGUGCCGAAAAAUUGAGAGUCUUGAAAACUUGUAUCUGGAUUUUGAUGAUGAUGUCACAGAACUUGAAACUUUUGGAGUAACCACCACCAAAGCAUCAAAAUCACCAAGUCCAGCAAGUACUUCCACAGUACCUAACAUGACAGAUGCUCCUACAGCCCCCAAAGCAGGAACUACAACUGUGGCACCAAGUGCACCAGACAUUUCUGCUAAUUCUAGAAGUUUAUCUCAGAUUCUGAUGGAACAAUUGCAAAAGGAGAAACAGCUGGUCACUGGUAUGGAUGGUGGCCCUGAGGAAUGCAAAAAUAAAGAUGAUCAGGGAUUUGAAUCAUGUGAAAAGGUAUCAAAUUCUGACAAGCCUUUGAUACAAGAUAGUGACUUGAAAAUAUCUGAUGCCUUACAGUUAGAAAAUUCUCAGGAAAUUGAAACUUCUAAUAAAAAUGAUAUGACUAUAGAUAUGGUACAUGCUGAUGGUGAAAGACCUAAUGUUCUGGAAAACCUAGACAACUCAAAGGAAAAGACUGUUGGAUCAGAAGCAGCAAAAACCGAAGAUACAGUUCUCUGCAGCAGUGAUACAGAUGAGGAGUGUUUAAUCAUUGAUACAGAGUGUAAAAAUAAUAGUGAUGGAAAGACAGCUGUUGUGGGUUCUAACUUAAGUUCUAGACCAGCUAGUCCAAAUUCUUCCUCAGGACAGGCUUCUGUAGGAAACCAGGCUAAUACUGCUUGUAGUCCUGAAGAGUCAUGUGUUUUAAAAAAACCUAUCAAACGAGUAUAUAAAAAAUUUGAUCCAGUUGGAGAGAUUUUAAAAAUGCAGGAUGAGCUCUUAAAGCCAAUUUCCAGAAAAGUACCCGAAUUGCCCUUAAUGAAUUUAGAAAAUUCUAAACAGCCUUCUGUUUCUGAGCAAUUGUCUGGUCCUUCAGACUCCUCUAGUUGGCCGAAAUCUGGAUGGCCUUCUGCAUUUCAGAAGCCAAAAGGACGAUUGCCAUAUGAACUUCAGGACUAUGUUGAAGAUACAUCGGAAUACCUAGCUCCUCAGGAAGGAAAUUUUGUUUAUAAGUUAUUUAGCCUGCAAGACCUGUUGUUACUCGUACGCUGCAGUGUCCAGAGGAUAGAGACAAGACCACGUUCUAAAAAACGGAAGAAAAUCAGAAGACAAUUUCCAGUUUAUGUACUACCAAAAGUAGAGUAUCAAGCUUGUUAUGGAGUUGAAGCUCUGACUGAAAGUGAACUUUGUCGCUUAUGGACUGAAAGUUUAUUGCAUUCCAACAGCUCAUUUUAUGUUGGAAGAUGUUCAAGAAAAUCACUUGAAGUGCUUUUAAAAGUGGAGAUUGCUGGCCCCACCCUGGAGUGUCUGAUUCACUAGGUCUGUAUUGGGACCUAAGACUUUCUCAGGUGGUACUGAUGCUGCUAGUUUAGGGACCACACUUUGAGAAUCAAUUCUAUAGCUUAUAGUCUCUUUUUGCAGUAGAAUCAACACACUUGUGAUUUGUUUGUUUGCUCUGCUUUGCUAUAAACAUGUUCCCCGCUUUCCCUAGUUGCAGUACUCUUUUUAUCUUUUCCCCAUAAAAACUUGAAGAUUUACUCCUUCAAGACAGUUUCCCACAUAGUCUCACUGCAACUUCUGUAUUCACCCUCCAACCCUAUAAUAUUUAUCAAUUCUAUAUAGUUGGUAUAUAGGCAGUCCUCACUUAGCACACAGUUUCAAUAAGCACAAGUUUUAGUUAUGACCGUGUAUUAACAGUGAGUAAUUGUAUAAAGUAUAAGCUUCACUGCUGGCUCUUCAGUCCACAGAUCACUACAUAAGUAACAGGCAAAUCAUGAUCAGUGACCAGUCAUGUCACUUCUUUCAAAGUCUGUUUAUAAUUGUUUAUUGUGUACCCAUUGAGUUCAUGCACAGAAAGCAGAAUGUGCAGUUGUGUUGACUCUUUGUCUCCCAGUGAUAAACCCAUGUGAUAUUUUACCAAAGUAGAUAAUCAAAAGAAUUGACCAAACAAUAUUAAAGCAAAGCAAAGAAACAAAAGGCGAUACUGCCAGAAGUGAAAUUUGAAUGGAACAUAAAUGGAAUUACAGAGGAAAUAGCAAAGAGUGGGAAUGUUGGCACUGCUAUUGUUCCAGUGACUCUAGAUUUGCUGCCAGACAAACUUAGUGAAAGCAUUGUGACAUAAAGGAUGAACAAGUGACACUGGCAUAAGAUUUUACAGUAAACAAAUCCUGAAGAUAAUUUCAUGACAUUGAAGGCACCAAGGAUACAGUGUCAGAAGCUGAUCCUUAGGAAUAUAACGGUUCACCAUGGCAUAGAAAAGAUGUAUCCGGCCAGGUACGGUGCCUCAAGCUUCUAAUCCCAGCACUUUGGGAGGCCGAGGUGGGUGGAUCAUUUGAGGUCAGGAGUUCAGGACCAGCCUGGCCAACAUGGUGAAACCCUGUCUCUACUUAAAAUGUAAAAAAUUAGCUGGGCACUGGGACUACAGGCGCCCGCCACUGCGCCUGGCUAAUUAAAUGUAACUUUAAUAGGAAUUAGAAACACCAGUAUUUUAAUAGUUGUUGUUCAUAAAUUGUAGGCUUUGAAAUGAUUUCGUAUGUGUGGACAUGUGUAAACAUAUAUUUAGCAAAUAUUUUAGAAUGAAUAUAAAUGUUUUAUAAUCCGAAUUAUGUCAUUUUAAAAUAUAGCUUUACUUAAGACUUAAUAAAAUGUGUAUUUCUCCUUUUAAAAUGUAAAAUUUCUUCACAGUUAUUAAAAUUUGUAAUCUUUAAGGAGACAGGA
Molecule: RNA transcript, 4138 nt
Organism: Pan troglodytes (chimpanzee)
Lineage: Eukaryota; Metazoa; Chordata; Mammalia; Primates; Hominidae
Gene: ICE2
Gene name: interactor of little elongation complex ELL subunit 2
Exons: 14
Source: RefSeq, a predicted model, not a curated record